CGGAAGGAUCAUUAGUGAUUUGGCCGAAAGGCCUCAUUUCGAUUCUCACAACACCUGUGAACUGUAGGGGCCUCCGGGCCUCCCAUUACAAACAUUAGUGUAACGAACGUCAAAUGUAUCUUAACAUAAAUAAAACUUUCAACAACGGAUCUCUUGGCUCUCGCAUCGAUGAAGAACGCAGCGAAACGCGAUAUGUAAUGUGAAUUGCAGAAUUCAGUGAAUCAUCGAAUCUUUGAACGCACCUUGCGCCUUUUGGUAUUCCGAAAGGCAUGCCUGUUUGAGUGUCAUGAAAUCUCAAUCCCCUCAGGUUUAUGAUCUGGGCCGGGACUUGGACUUGGGCGUCUUGCCAGCUUUGCCUGGCUCGCCUUAAUGGUGUCAGUGGGACUUUGCUUCCGAUCAUCAGACGUAAUAAGUUUCGUCUGUUUGGGAGGUGAGGGCUUGCUUACAACCCCCGUGCUUUGGCACAACUUUUUUCGAUCUGACCUCAAAUCAGGUAGGGCUACCCGCUGAACUUAAGCAUAUCAAUAAGCGGAGGAAAAGAAACUAACAAGGAUUCCCCUAGUAACGGCGAGUGAACAGGGAAGAGCUCAAAUUUGAAAUCUGGCGUGCUCAGUGCGUCCGAGUUGUAAUCUAUAGAGUCGUUUUCCGUGCCGGACCGUGUCCAAGUUCCUUGGAACAGGAUAUCAAAGAGGGUGACAAUCCCGUACUUGACACGACCACCGGUGCUCUGUGAUACGUCUUCUACGAGUCGAGUUGUUUGGGAAUGCAGCUCAAA
This 775-nucleotide ribosomal RNA is filed under the name Tremella sp. UFMGCB408. RNAcentral's name for it is "eukaryotic LSU rRNA". The stretch from base 480 to 775 matches the Rfam family "Eukaryotic large subunit ribosomal RNA", at positions 1 to 291 of the family's 3401-position model. Lineage: Eukaryota; Fungi; Basidiomycota; Tremellomycetes; Tremellales; Tremellaceae. The record is from RNAcentral.